AGCAAAACUAGCUAGCAUCACAUAACCGUAGCAGUUUCGUUAAUUCAAGUUUUGUUUAGAGCUGUAGAUGUAAAGUUAAUGAAAGAAAGGAGGAUGUACCUUUUAUUCAAAUGAUGAGCAGCUUUUGCAGGACAUUCUGCAGAUCAUUUUACGGAGCUCCAUAUCACCAUCAUCGUUGAGGUCUUCUUGUCCAGCUCUCCCCCUCCCCCGGACCUGAUUGCCUUUGUUCCACAGUGAGGAUCCAUCCAUCCCUCUUGGGUGAUAUAUGCCAGUAAACGACCACACGAAAGUCAUGAAGCUCACAAUGACGCUCCUAUUGAGGACAGCAAUUCUGGCAUUGUAGUCGGAGGCUAACCAACAAGGAAAAGAAGUUUCAGCUACACAAAAAACUCAGGAACAACAUGGGUUAGUUAUUAAUCUAGAGUAAUGAGCACACAAUCUGCAAGAUAACAUGUUUCCAUGUUGAUCAGUGGUGGAUGGUGCAAGACAUGUUCACACACCGAUACAGUAUGAUACAUAGACAUUUCUCACUGUCUUCAUCUUCAGCUGUUCCAUAGAGUGACUUCUCAUGAAGAAUCCUCCACCAUAAAAAGGCAGCAGGGUGGAUUACAGUGCAGUAUAUUGUGCCCUAUGACCUAGUGCACACACAUGUAAUGCAGUCACAUGCAGCCACAUGCUACAGUGGGAGGAAAUGCUCGCAACCCAGAGAGUGGUGGGGGAUGGGAACACAAUGGGGGUUAGUGGGCUUAUACGGCAACGGGAUUGAGAGUAAGCCAAGCAUGAUGCCCCCUCACAUGGGGAAAUAACAUAGCCUGUGUGUGUGGGUGUGGGUGUGUGGGGUGUGUUUGUGUGAUGAACUCUACAUCUACUGGCUUGAUAAGGAGGUGGAGAUGAAGGUCUGACAGGCAGCUUUUUGGUUUCCUGCAUGAUUAUUCCACCUCACCUCCCUCCCUACACUCAGCCCAGCAUCAUCCUCUCUUUCUCUGUGUGGGGCUGUU
This is a long non-coding RNA of Perca flavescens (yellow perch), 998 nucleotides long. RefSeq lists it as uncharacterized. NCBI's taxonomy places the organism in Eukaryota, Metazoa, Chordata, Actinopteri, Perciformes, Percidae. The transcript has 3 exons. The record is from RefSeq and is a predicted model, not a curated record.